AACGCGAAGAACCUUACCUGGCCUUGACAUGUCGAGAACUUUCCAGAGAUGGAUUGGUGCCUUCGGGGAACACCGAACACAGGUGCUGCAUGGCUGUCGUCAGCUCGUGUCGUGAGAUGUUGGGUUAAGUCCCGCAACGAGCGCAACCCUUGUCCUUAGUUGCCAGCACGUAAUGGUGGGAACUCUAAGGAGACUGCCGGAGACAAACCGGAGGAAGGUGGGGAUGACCGCAAGUCAUCAUGGCCCUUACGGCCUGGGCUACACACGUACUACAAUGGUCGGGACACAGGGCUGCAAGCCGGCGAAGGUGAGCUAAUCCCACAAACCCUAUCUCAGUCCGGAUCGCAGUCUGCAACUCGACUGCGUGAAGUCGGAAUCGCUAGUAAUCGCAGAUCAGCAUUGCUGCGGUGAAUACGUUCCCGGGCCUUGUACACAC
This 436-nucleotide ribosomal RNA is filed under the name uncultured bacterium. Its description in RNAcentral is "bacterial SSU rRNA". It matches the Rfam family "Bacterial small subunit ribosomal RNA", at positions 958 to 1390 of the family's 1533-position model. The record is from RNAcentral.